CAGUAGCCGCGGGAACACGUAGGUGGCAAGCGUUGUCCGGAAUUAUUGGGCGUAAAGGGCUCGCAGGCGGUUUCUUAAGUCUGAUGUGAAGCCCCCGGCUCAACCGGGGAGGGUCAUUGGAAACUGGGAAACUUGAGUGCAGAAGAGGAGAGUGGAAUUCCACGUGUAGCGGUGAAAUGCGUAGAGAUGUGGAGGAACACCAGUGGCGAAGGCGACUCUCUGGUCUGUAACUGACGCUGAGGAGCGAAAGCGUGGGGAGCGAACAGGAUUAGAUACCCCUGUAGUCCCUGUCUCUUAUACA
RNAcentral lists this ribosomal RNA (301 nucleotides) under uncultured bacterium. RNAcentral's name for it is "partial 16S ribosomal RNA". It matches the Rfam family "Bacterial small subunit ribosomal RNA", at positions 509 to 808 of the family's 1533-position model. The record is from RNAcentral.